AACGAACGCUGGCGGCAUGCCUAACACAUGCAAGUCGAACGAGACCUUCGGGUCUAGUGGCGCACGGGUGCGUAACGCGUGGGAACCUGCCCUUAGGUUCGGAAUAACUCCCCGAAAGGGGUGCUAAUACCGGAUAAUGUCUUCGGACCAAAGAUUUAUCGCCUUUGGAUGGGCCCGCGUUGGAUUAGCUAGUUGGUAGGGUAAAAGCCUACCAAGGCGACGAUCCAUAGCUGGUCUGAGAGGAUGAUCAGCCACACUGGGACUGAGACACGGCCCAGACUCCUACGGAAGGCAGCAGUGGAGAAUAUUGGACAAUGGGCGAAAGCCUGAUCCAGCAAUGCCGGGUGAGUGAUGAAGGCCUUAGGGUUGUAAAGCUCUUUUACCCGGGAUGAUAAUGACGGUACCGGGAGAAUAAGCUCCGGCUAACUACGUG
RNAcentral lists this ribosomal RNA (433 nucleotides) under uncultured bacterium. Its description in RNAcentral is "partial 16S ribosomal RNA". It matches the Rfam family "Bacterial small subunit ribosomal RNA", at positions 29 to 507 of the family's 1533-position model. The record is from RNAcentral.